This 478-nucleotide ribosomal RNA is filed under the name uncultured bacterium. RNAcentral describes it as "partial 16S ribosomal RNA". It matches the Rfam family "Bacterial small subunit ribosomal RNA", at positions 28 to 507 of the family's 1533-position model. The record is from RNAcentral.
GAUGAACGCUGGCGGCGUGCUUAACACAUGCAAGUCGAACGGGAAUUCUUUUAUUGCAACUUCGGUCGAUUUAAUUUAAUUCUAGUGGCGGACGGGUGAGUAACGCGUGGGUAACCUGCCUUAUACAGGGGGAUAACAGUCAGAAAUGGCUGCUAAUACCGCACAAGCGCACAGAGCUGCAUGGCUCAGUGUGAAAAACUCCGGUGGUAUAAGAUGGACCCGCGUUGGAUUAGCUUGUUGGCAGGGUAACGGCCUACCAAGGCGACGAUCCAUAGCCGGCAUGAGAGGGUGAACGGACACAUUGGGACUGGGACACGGCCCAGAAUACUACGGGAGGCAGCAGUGGGGAAUAUUGCACAAUGGGGGAAACGAUAAUGCAGCGACGCCGCGUGAAGGAAGAAGUAUCUCGGUAUGUAAACUUCUAUCAGCAGGGAAGAUAGUGACGGUACCUGACUAAGAAGCCCCGGCUAACUACGUG